CUUUCUAAGGAAUUAAUCGGAAACCUACACAUUGUCGAAACAGUGUUCAGUUUUGAGAGGUUUACUUCUCAAGAUGAUUUAUCAUCGCUUGUUGGGCCUAUAGCUCAGUUGGUUAGAGCGCACGCCUGAUAAGCGUGAGGUCGGUGGUUCGAGUCCACUUAGGCCCAUCAUGGGGAAUUAGCUCAGCUGGGAGAGCACCUGCUUUGCAAGCAGGAGGUCAUCGGUUCGAUCCCGAUAUUCUCCAUUGCUAGCCGCGAGGUUAGCGAGUUUGUACUUUGAAAACUAAAUAAUAUCAAUUUCUAAUAAAAUCAAGAAAACCGAGAACACCGCGUUAUUUGAGUUUUUAACGAAUUAUAAUCGCAUACUCAACUAACUUGACUGAUCUACGAUCAGUAAGGUUAAGUUAAUAA
RNAcentral lists this unclassified non-coding RNA (410 nucleotides) under Limosilactobacillus fermentum. RNAcentral describes it as "Lactobacillus fermentum partial large 16S-23S ribosomal RNA intergenic spacer". The stretch from base 94 to 167 matches the Rfam family "tRNA". Lineage: Bacteria; Bacillati; Bacillota; Bacilli; Lactobacillales; Lactobacillaceae. The record is from RNAcentral.